GCCCUAGUAACGGCGAGUGAAGCGGCAACAGCUCAAAUUUGAAAUCUGGCGCAAGCCCGAGUUGUAAUUUGUAGAGGAUGCUUCUAGGUAGCGACCGGUCUAAGUUCCUUGGAACAGGACGUCAUAGAGGGUGAGAAUCCCGUAUGUGACCGGCCCGCACCUUCUACGUAGCUCCUUCGACGAGUCGAGUUGUUUGGGAAUGCAGCUCUAAAUGGGAGGUAAAUUUCUUCUAAAGCUAAAUACCGGCCAGAGACCGAUAGCGCACAAGUAGAGUGAUCGAAAGAUGAAAAGCACUUUGGAAAGAGAGUUAAAAAGCACGUGAAAUUGUUGAAAGGGAAGCGCUUACAACCAGACUUCUGGGCGGUGUUCCGCCGGUCUUCUGACCGGUCUACUCGCCGUCCCGAGGCCAACAUCAUCUGGGACCGCUGGAUAAGACCUGAGGAAUGUAGCUCCCCUCGGGGAGUGUUAUAGCCUCUGGUGAUGCAGCGCGUCUCGGGUGAGGUCCGCGCUUCGGCAAGGAUGUUGGCGUAAUGGUUGUCAGCGGCCCGUCUUGAAACACGGACCAAGGAGUCUAACAUCUAUGCGAGUGUUCGGGUGUCAAACCCCUACGCGUAAUGAAAGUGAACGGAGGUGGGAAGGGUAACCUGCACCAUCGACCGAUCCUGAUGUCCUCGGAUGGAUUUGAGUAAGAGCAUAGCUGUUGGGACCCGAAAGAUGGUGAACUAUGCCUGAAUAGGGUGAAGCCAGAGGAAACUCUGGUGGAGGCUCGCAGCGGUUCUGACGUGCAAAUCGAUCGUCAAAUUUGGGUAUAGGGGCGAAAGACUAA
This 826-nucleotide ribosomal RNA is filed under the name Ramularia uredinicola. RNAcentral's name for it is "eukaryotic LSU rRNA". It matches the Rfam family "Eukaryotic large subunit ribosomal RNA", at positions 77 to 934 of the family's 3401-position model. The record is from RNAcentral. Lineage: Eukaryota; Fungi; Ascomycota; Dothideomycetes; Mycosphaerellales; Mycosphaerellaceae.